This 336-nucleotide unclassified non-coding RNA is filed under the name soil metagenome. RNAcentral describes it as "partial contains 5.8S ribosomal RNA, internal transcribed spacer 2, and large subunit ribosomal RNA". The stretch from base 1 to 120 matches the Rfam family "5.8S ribosomal RNA", at positions 35 to 154 of the family's 154-position model. The record is from RNAcentral.
GAUGAAGAACGUAGCGAAAUGCGAUAAGUAGUGUGAAUUGCAGAAUUCAGUGAAUCAUCGAAUUUUUGAACGCACAUUGCGCCCCUUGGUAUUCCAUGGGGCAUGCCUGUUCGAGCGUCAUUUGUACCUUCAAGCGCUGCUUGGUGUUGGGUGUUUGUCUCGCCUCUGCGUGUAGACCCGCCUCAAAACAAUUGGCAGCCGGCGUAUUGAUUUCGGAGCGCAGUACAUCUCGCGCUUUGCACUCAUAACGACGACGUCCAAAAGUACAUUUUUACACUCUUGACCUCGGAUCAGGUAGGGAUACCCGCUGAACUUAAGCAUACAAUAAGCGGAGGA